This 658-nucleotide transfer RNA is filed under the name uncultured bacterium. RNAcentral's name for it is "partial 16S-23S ribosomal RNA intergenic spacer". The stretch from base 170 to 243 matches the Rfam family "tRNA". The record is from RNAcentral.
UCCCUCAUCAGCUUGCUGAUAUCGGAGCGCUUAAGAAACAAAAGAUUGGGCCAAGUCACGGUUCAGUCGACCUACAAAAGCGGACCUUCGCCGUCUUCGUUUCUCUUUCUUCUCGGAUGCAUUCCACUGUUUCGCGUGUCCGCGAGACGCUGUGGGCUCGUACAGAAUUGGGCCUGUAGCUCAGGUGGUUAGAGCGCACGCCUGAUAAGCGUGAGGUCGGUAGUUCAACUCUACCCAGGCCCACCAAUUCUGUUGGGCGGCCUCAUUUUUGGUUAUGGGGCUGUAGCUCAGUUGGGAGAGCGGUAGCUUUGCAAGCUUCAGGUCGUCGGUUCGAUCCCGUCCAGCUCCACCAUUUCCUUUGUUGAAGGAAAUGAUACGCGCAUCCGAGAGCAAAGAAACGAUUUGCAAUCGUGAGCGGCCCGCAAGGCCGGUUCGCAAUUGCCUGUUCAAGAACAUUGUAGAGAGAAGGUCCGAUCGGCCGGUUCAGCUGCUACUUUUAGCCGGCGGCUUUACCUUACGAAAAGGCGAUGCCUAACCGCACGCUGUCAGUCGGAUCUCGUGAAAACUGGUCUUUCGCCAGUAUGAAGCCCAUUCCAGUGGGAACUUACUUCAUGCUGGCAACUCAGCACAUUAUGUCCGCCGGGGAGGCACACGAACC